RNAcentral lists this small nuclear RNA (191 nucleotides) under Ornithorhynchus anatinus (platypus). RNAcentral's name for it is "U2 spliceosomal RNA (ENSOANG00000041451.1)". It matches the Rfam family "U2 spliceosomal RNA". From Rfam's summary of the family: U2 is a small nuclear RNA (snRNA) component of the spliceosome (involved in pre-mRNA splicing). Complementary binding between U2 snRNA (in an area lying towards the 5' end but 3' to hairpin I) and the branchpoint sequence (BPS) of the intron results the bulging out of an unpaired adenosine, on the BPS, which initiates a nucleophilic attack at the intronic 5' splice site, thus starting the first of two transesterification reactions that mediate splicing. Lineage: Eukaryota; Metazoa; Chordata; Mammalia; Monotremata; Ornithorhynchidae. The record is from Rfam by way of RNAcentral.
AUCGCUUCUCGGCCUUUUGGCUAAGAUCAAGUGUAGUAUCUGUUCUUAUCAGUUUAAUAUCUGAUACGUCCUCUAUCCGAGGACAAUAUAUUAAAUGGAUUUUUGGAGCCGGGAGAUGGAAUAGGGGCUUGCUCCGUCCACUCCACGCAUCGACCUGGUAUUGCAGUACCUCCAGGAACGGUGCAUCUCCC